CCUACGGGAGGCAGCAGUGAGGAAUAUUGGUCAAUGGGCGGAAGCCUGAACCAGCCAAGUAGCGUGCAGGAUGACGGCCCUACGGGUUGUAAACUGCUUUUAUACGGGAAUAACGCGCCUUACGUGUAGGGCUUUGCAUGUACCGUAUGAAUAAGGACCGGCUAAUUCCGUGCCAGCAGCCGCGGUAAUACGGAAGGUCCGGGCGUUAUCCGGAUUUAUUGGGUUUAAAGGGAGCGUAGGCCGCAUGUCAAGCGUGCUGUGAAAUGUCCGGGCUCAACCCCAUCCAGCCGUUGAAACUGGGGAUCUAGAGUGUGCGAGAGGUAUGCGGAAUGCGUGGUGUAGCGGUGAAAUGCAUAGAUAUCACGCAGAACCCCGAUUGCGAAGGCAGCAUACCGGUGCACAACUGACGCUCAGGCACGAAAGCGUGGGUAUCGAACAGGAUUAGAUACCCUGGUAGUC
This 459-nucleotide ribosomal RNA is filed under the name uncultured bacterium. Its description in RNAcentral is "partial 16S ribosomal RNA". It matches the Rfam family "Bacterial small subunit ribosomal RNA", at positions 338 to 795 of the family's 1533-position model. The record is from RNAcentral.